This 470-nucleotide long non-coding RNA is filed under the name Androctonus crassicauda. The record is from RNAcentral. Lineage: Eukaryota; Metazoa; Arthropoda; Arachnida; Scorpiones; Buthidae.
CCCAUGUAAGCUGCUUUCUAUUGUGUGCUGGGUACUUGAGUGGCAGUGUAUAAACUCCAGACCUUUCUACAUCUUUUCUUAUGUCCUUCUUGUUACGCAAGGAAUUGAAAAUAGUCGGCUGUCUCUUAGUAGCAAGUUUUCUUCCAGUUUUAUGAAUGAUUUCUUUUAGCACUGCUGAUUUUUUCAUACUGUAUGGUAACGGCAAAAAGGUACUUCUUUGGCUUAUCUGCUGGUCUCUACUUUGCCAUAAGAAAGGAUGUAGAAGGGUCCGGAGUUUGUACACUGCCACUCGGGUGCCCGUCACGGAGUGGGAGAGCAGCUUGCGUGGGAGUUAUAGACAGAACGCUGUACCAGAGGCUUGAGGAGCGCAGGACAGAUGUUGGGAUGGGCAGGGUGACGGCAGCAUUGGCAGAGCGAGCCUUGGUCGAUGAUGUCCAAAUGCACUGGACCAGUGCUCGGGUAAUAAAGCC